Molecule: ribosomal RNA, 547 nt
Filed under: Tritogenia douglasi
Lineage: Eukaryota; Metazoa; Annelida; Clitellata; Crassiclitellata; Microchaetidae
Description: partial 16S ribosomal RNA
Source: RNAcentral
AACUUACUCAUUACUUGUUAUAUAAAGCGUAAAAAAAGUAAUAAAAUAAUUUUUUAAAUGUAAAUAGUACAGCAAUGGAAACAACCAAAAAAUAAAGUAAUUGUAAACAGAUGUACCUUGUGCAUUAUGGAUUUACAAGAAUAUAGUAUACCAUCAGCAUGCCCGAAUCUCUAGCGAGCUGCUAAAAUACUGUUAAGAACCCAAAAAUAAUUAUUUCAAUAUUUUUUUAAGAUAUUCUAGCAGGGGCUACAUACCAGCCGCGCGGGAAAAUUGCUGGUUUUCAGUAAACUUAAUUAACUUAAAUAUGUAAAUAUAAAUUUACAAUAUAAUAUUACCGAGGAUAAGCCCCGUAAUGAAAGCAAAUAUAGUUCUUAAAAAAUUCUACAGGCCUAAAAUCAGCUAUCAAACUACUUUACCGUAACAGAUAUCUGAUCUAUAUAUUAAUCUGCAACGGAAACUGAAAUUUUGAUUAAACAAUAUUAAUUUAUAUAUUUUAUGUAAAUAUUAGUAUUUUAUUUUUAGUAACAUCACAAAAACUAAAAUAAAU